Molecule: ribosomal RNA, 270 nt
Filed under: uncultured archaeon
Lineage: Archaea
Description: partial 16S ribosomal RNA
Rfam family: Archaeal small subunit ribosomal RNA
Source: RNAcentral
CAGCGCCACAAGUGGGAACCACAUUUAUUGGGUCUAAAGCAUCCGUAGCCGGCGCUGUAAGUUUUCGGUUAAAUCUGUACGCUCAACGUACAGGCUGCCGGGAAUACUGCAGCGCUAGGGAGUGGGAGAGGUAGACGGUACUCGGUAGGAAGGGGUAAAAUCCUUUGAUCUAUUGAUGACCACCUGUGGCGAAGGCGGUCUACCAGAACACGUCCGACGGUGAGGGAUGAAAGCUGGGGGAGCAAACCGGAUUAGAGACCCGAGUAGUCC